GUUGAACAAACAUUGGGUGGUGCAGUAUUCUAGUCGACUCUCCAUACCCGAAGGCGGGCCUAAAAAUCCGCUGAAGGGCACAUCGAUGAAGUUUCUGGUUCCGGCUUGAGGCGCCCAGCCUUGGGUCGGAGCUGGGAGUAAAGGCAAGGGGGCGAUCCACAAAGGCAUGUGGGCGCGAACCCUCUUGCCGCGGAGGCCUGAAUGGUUCUGCUCUGGGAGUGAAUCAUUCGGGUAAGACCUGCCGCGCGGGCAAGAAAUUGUCUGCAGGUAGCGUAGCCUGCCUUGAGUGGAGCCGGGGGAGGAUGCGUCACAAGGUAAAUAGCUGCCGGCCAGCGGCUAUUUACCUUUUGCAUCCGAAACCUGCUCUGCAAAAGAGGCUAAGGGAUGGCACGGAGUCGUUGAGGAAAACUCCUAGACUGUUCACCAAUUAGGUGACAUACAGAGGGGAUUACGGUGCGUGCUAAGUGGUAAUCCAGUCUGAUGACCGGCGACGGCAUCAAGGCAGCCUUAAAGGGAAACCGCCAGGGCGGCGACGCGCUGGCUGCUGCCUGGGAAAUCCUACUGGACCUAAGCCGCAAAGUUUAUCUUUUGUAUGACCACCCUACGUACAUACGAC
This 616-nucleotide small RNA is filed under the name Salsuginibacillus halophilus. Lineage: Bacteria; Bacillati; Bacillota; Bacilli; Caryophanales; Bacillaceae. The record is from RNAcentral.